This 497-nucleotide ribosomal RNA is filed under the name uncultured bacterium. RNAcentral describes it as "partial 16S ribosomal RNA". It matches the Rfam family "Bacterial small subunit ribosomal RNA", at positions 28 to 507 of the family's 1533-position model. The record is from RNAcentral.
GAUGAACGCUGGCGGCGUGCCUAAUACAUGCAAGUCGAGCGAACGGACGAGAAGCUUGCUUCUCUGAUGUUAGCGGCGGACGGGUGAGUAACACGUGGAUAACCUACCUAUAAGACUGGGAUAACUUCGGGAAACCGGAGCUAAUACCGGAUAAUAUUUUGAACCGCAUGGUUCAAAAGUAAAAGACGGUCUUGCUGUCACUUAUAGAUGGAUCCGCGCUGCAUUAGCUAGUUGGUAAGGUAACGGCUUACCAAGGCAACGAUGCAUAGCCGACCUGAGAGGGUGAUCGGCCACACUGGAACUGAGACACGGUCCAGACUACUACGGGAGGCAGCAGUAGGGAAUCUUCCGCAAUGGGCGAAAGCCUGACGGAGCAACGCCGCGUGAGUGAUGAAGGUCUUCGGAUCGUAAAACUCUGUUAUUAGGGAAGAACAGAUGUGUAAGUAACUGUGCACAUCUUGACGGUACCUAAUCAGAAAGCCACGGCUAACUACGUG